Molecule: long non-coding RNA, 1220 nt
Organism: Oncorhynchus tshawytscha (Chinook salmon)
Lineage: Eukaryota; Metazoa; Chordata; Actinopteri; Salmoniformes; Salmonidae
Source: Ensembl
UUUUAUGUUUUGCUAAACUCUUAGGUUAGUCUUUCCGGCUUGUCAGCUCGCUCUACUCUGUGGCGGCUGAAGAAAAAAAGAACCAGUUGGCAAGCGAAGCGAACGCUCGGAGCCAGCAGCAAACUAGCCAUUUCAUCGUUUAUUUUUGUCGUAAGCAUUGGCUUACUUGUGAAGAUUGUUUCGUUUUAUCCUAAAGACUGUUUGGAGUUUGUCUGCCUUGGAUUACGGAUAUUACACAUUUCCCUGUAUUAAACAUUAACUGUGCUAGCUAGCUAAACAUUUUAUUUGUGCGACGACAGCUGUCAUUUGGAGAAGGAAAAGUGAUCCGUCAUGCGUGAGAAAUUAAGCUGAUUUCUACUGGAUUUACAUUUUAACAUCCUUCAAAUGGGCGACGUUAACGUUCAAUAUUUGAGAACUGCGGUGGUAUUGCCUUAGUAACUAGUGUGGCCACCUAGCUUGCUACUUAUACUUAUCGUUGGACAGAAGACAGCUAGUUAGCUGGCUAUAUCAUUCAUUCAGCCUCAUAAAUACACUAACUACAAAGUGAUAUAACUAUAGCAAUAUCGCUUACAAUUUUGGACAUGAAGAAAAUAACCUACUAUUCAUAGGGUUGAAAGAAUGUCAUCAGAGGAUAAGACUGUGGAGCCCUCUGACCAGGGACCCUCGCUGCCCUCUGUUAGUGCAGGGGCCACGUCCACAGGAAGCCCUGCCCAGACAGACAAGCGCCCCAGGGGCAGACCACGCAAGGAUGCUACCACCACCAUCGUACCCCAGGCUCUACCCACAACUACAUCCAAGACCAGGAAGAAGGGGCGUACCAGAGGUAGAGUGGUUGUGGAGGAGGAGGACAGCAGCAUGGACGGGACAGAGGCAGCCGCUUCAGAGAGCCCCCUCAGGACACAACAGAUACACCAGCCCAGCAGCCUGUGGAGAGUGUGGAGGUGGGUGCCACUGAAGGACCAGGGGAGGGGGAAGAGAAGCCCUCUUCUCCCCAGGUCCAGAGCCCUCAGACUAGUGAAGCAGCUGAGCUUUCUGGUCCUAUCACCAACAGAGGAGUUAAAAGCAGGUCAGUCUGAGAGUUCCAUCACAGCAAGUUUGGCUAUGAGGGGUGGAUCUGUGUUUAUGUACGGUGUAUAUUGAUUAAUGUGAUACUUUUGGUCAUGUAGUGUAUGUGGACACCUGCUUGUCGAACAUCUCAUUCCAAAAUCAUGGGCAAUUAG